Molecule: ribosomal RNA, 1019 nt
Filed under: uncultured bacterium
Lineage: Bacteria
Description: bacterial SSU rRNA
Rfam family: Bacterial small subunit ribosomal RNA
Source: RNAcentral
UGAGGAAUAUUGGUCAAUGGACGAGAGUCUGAACCAGCCAAGUAGCGUGAAGGAUGACUGCCCUAUGGGUUGUAAACUUCUUUUAUACGGGAAUAAAGUUAGGCACGUGUGCCUUUUUGUAUGUACCGUAUGAAUAAGGAUCGGCUAACUCCGUGCCAGCAGCCGCGGUAAUACGGGGGAUCCGAGCGUUAUCCGGAUUUAUUGGGUUUAAAGGGUGCGUAGAUGGGUUGUUAAGUCAGUUGUGAAAGUUUGCGGCUCAACCGUAAAAUUGCAGUUGAUACUGGAUGUCUUGAGUGCAGUUGAGGCAGGCGGAAUUCGUGGUGUAGCGGUGAAAUGCUUAGAUAUCACGAAGAACUCCGAUUGCGAAGGCAGCCUGCUAAGCUGCAACUGACAUUGAGGCUCGAAAGUGUGGGUAUCAAACAGGAUUAGAUACCCUGGUAGUCCACACGGUAAACGAUGAAUACUCGCUGUUUGCGAUAUACGGCAAGCGGCCAAGCGAAAGCGUUAAGUAUUCCACCUGGGGAGUACGCCGGCAACGGUGAAACUCAAAGGAAUUGACGGGGGCCCGCACAAGCGGAGGAACAUGUGGUUUAAUUCGAUGAUACGCGAGGAACCUUACCCGGGCUUAAAUUGCACUCGAAUGAUCCGGAAACGGUUCAGCUAGCAAUAGCGAGUGUGAAGGUGCUGCAUGGUUGUCGUCAGCUCGUGCCGUGAGGUGUCGGCUUAAGUGCCAUAACGAGCGCAACCCUUGUUGUCAGUUACUAACAGGUGAUGCUGAGGACUCUGACAAGACUGCCAUCGUAAGAUGUGAGGAAGGUGGGGAUGACGUCAAAUCAGCACGGCCCUUACGUCCGGGGCUACACACGUGUUACAAUGGGGGGUACAGAGGGCCGCUACCACGCGAGUGGAUGCCAAUCCCUAAAACCCCUCUCAGUUCGGACUGGAGUCUGCAACCCGACUCCACGAAGCUGGAUUCGCUAGUAAUCGCGCAUCAGCCACGGCGCGGUGAAUACGUUCCC